RNAcentral lists this transfer RNA (87 nucleotides) under Thomasclavelia ramosa. RNAcentral's name for it is "tRNA-Ser". It matches the Rfam family "tRNA". From Rfam's summary of the family: Transfer RNA (tRNA) molecules are approximately 80 nucleotides in length. Their secondary structure includes four short double-helical elements and three loops (D, anti-codon, and T loops). Further hydrogen bonds mediate the characteristic L-shaped molecular structure. tRNAs have two regions of fundamental functional importance: the anti-codon, which is responsible for specific mRNA codon recognition, and the 3' end, to which the tRNAs corresponding amino acid is attached (by aminoacyl-tRNA synthetases). tRNAs cope with the degeneracy of the genetic code in two manners: having more than one tRNA (with a specific anti-codon) for a particular amino acid; and 'wobble' base-pairing, i.e. permitting non-standard base-pairing at the 3rd anti-codon position. Lineage: Bacteria; Bacillati; Bacillota; Erysipelotrichia; Erysipelotrichales; Coprobacillaceae. The record is from RNAcentral. RNAcentral also lists the same sequence under 1 other name.
GGAAGUUUGGGUGAGUGGCUGAAACCAGUAGUUUGCUAAACUGCCGAACGGGUAACCGUUCCGGGGGUUCGAAUCCCCCAGCUUCCG